AUUGAAAUGAUUCUAUAUUCUAGAUUUUAGGCUUGAGAGGCAUUCUAUGCAGUUGAUGCGUAGAUACAAUCGUUGGAUAAAGUUGUAAUUGACUGGGGAAAGAAAGCUUGGACUAGCCAGAUCGAAGGUUUUAUUGUCAGUGAAAUAAUGCAAUGUUAGGGAACUGGUCACCAUUAUUUUAUUGUUGUUGUUAGUAAGAUAUAUACUGUAUUAUAGCGUAUGUGUUUGUUAUUUUAAAUUCACACCUAUUAGUUAAUACAUCUUUCCUAGGGAACUCUUGGCUUACCCGUCCUCUAGCAAAGCUACCAUCUUGGUCCUGUUUGGUUGGACGUUCCUCUAAUCUGACUGACCAUGCAGGUAACCUUGAGCUCGUACACGUACAUUAAUCCUAAUUUCUUGCACAAGUGACUGAUUUGCAAUUUGAACUGCUGAAACAUUUCUUGUCUCUUGGAUAAGCAUGGUUGGUCAGAUAAGCGGUGCCUCUCAUGGGCUGAGGAUAAGCUAACCGCUGCUCUGGAAAGGUGUAUUCACUUAUAAGCUAGCAUUACAAAAAAAAUAAACAAACAUAGUCUAUAAUAUAUUUCAUGUUUUAUUUACAGUAAUUGUAUAAAAUAGUGGUGGUUUUCCUCUAAAUUGAUCCCCU
Molecule: non-coding RNA, 643 nt
Organism: Pelobates cultripes (western spadefoot toad)
Lineage: Eukaryota; Metazoa; Chordata; Amphibia; Anura; Pelobatidae
Source: the annotation of a GenBank genome assembly